UAUAGUCAACAUUUUCAACUUGUUGAAUAACACAAAGGGAAAAAUGUAUUUCAAAAAAUCAUCUUUGGUGAACUUUCUACUGGCGGUUGUGGUUUGGAGUUCUGUCUUUUAUUUAACUUCUGCGGAUUCAAUACGUAAAAGGGUCGCUCCUUUGAAAUGAACGGAAUGUUUGUCCAUCAUAUUUACUUAUAUUGAAUUAUAAGUUAAUAUGUGUUGAAUAAAGAAAUAUAAAAACUA
This is a long non-coding RNA of Tribolium madens (black flour beetle), 237 nucleotides long. RefSeq lists it as uncharacterized. The transcript has 2 exons. The record is from RefSeq and is a predicted model, not a curated record. NCBI's taxonomy places the organism in Eukaryota, Metazoa, Arthropoda, Insecta, Coleoptera, Tenebrionidae.